RNAcentral lists this ribosomal RNA (373 nucleotides) under Globigerinella siphonifera. Its description in RNAcentral is "partial 18S ribosomal RNA". Lineage: Eukaryota; Foraminifera; Rotaliida; Globigerinidae. The record is from RNAcentral.
UUAAUUGCGUUUCAAUAUAUUUUAUUAUAUAACGAGUCUACAAAGGAGUGGUUCAUUAACAGACAAUCAUAUCUUUGAGCGUCUGGAAUCUACUCUAUUUGGCUCAAUUGAACGCAACGGACGUGAUCGCGAGUCCUUGUUGAACUUCAGUAUAUAUUGACUAUCCCCGUAGGAAGGGAUUGGCAAUAAUUGAAUGUUCGCUUUCUAUUAGGUGUGUAUAUAUAGUCUCAAAAUUACAUGUAUUUGUAAUGGCGAGUAAUAUUUAUACUAUCCUGUAGGAAAACUCGGGCGACCGCUGUAAUAUUUCUCUUUAAAACAGAGGAAGAUUGCGGCAAUAACAGGUCUGUGAUGCCCUCAGAUGUCCCGGGCCGCA